This 72-nucleotide transfer RNA is filed under the name Pangasianodon hypophthalmus (striped catfish). Its description in RNAcentral is "tRNA-Asp". Lineage: Eukaryota; Metazoa; Chordata; Actinopteri; Siluriformes; Pangasiidae. The record is from RNAcentral.
UCCUCAGAGGACUAGUGGUUAGGCCUGGACGCUGUCACCGCCUCGGCAUGGGUUCAAUUCCCAGCCAGGGAA